Molecule: ribosomal RNA, 467 nt
Filed under: uncultured bacterium
Lineage: Bacteria
Description: partial 16S ribosomal RNA
Rfam family: Bacterial small subunit ribosomal RNA
Source: RNAcentral
GACGAACGCUGGCGGCGUGCUUAACACAUGCAAGUCGAACGGAAAGGCUCCAGCUUGCUGGAGUACUCGAGUGGCGAACGGGUGAGUAACACGUGGGUAAUCUGCCCUGCACUCUGGGAUAAGCCUGGGAAACUGGGUCUAAUACUGGAUAUGACCUUUCUCCUUAUGGGGUUUGUUGGAAAGUUUUUCGGUGUAGGAUGAGCCCGCGGCCUAUCAGCUUGUUGGUGGGGUGAUGGCCUACCAAGGCGACGACGGGUAGCCGGCCUGAGAGGGUGAGCGGCCACAUUGGGACUGAGAUACGGCCCAGACUCCUACGGGAGGCAGCAGUGGGGAAUAUUGCACAAUGGGCGGAAGCCUGAUGCAGCGACGCCGCGUGAGGGAUGACGGCCUUCGGGUUGUAAACCGCUUUCAGCAGGGACGAAGCGUAAGUGACGGUACCUGCAGAAGAAGCACCGGCUAACUAGGUG